This 455-nucleotide ribosomal RNA is filed under the name uncultured Acidovorax sp. RNAcentral's name for it is "bacterial SSU rRNA". It matches the Rfam family "Bacterial small subunit ribosomal RNA", at positions 925 to 1382 of the family's 1533-position model. Lineage: Bacteria; Pseudomonadati; Pseudomonadota; Betaproteobacteria; Burkholderiales; Comamonadaceae. The record is from RNAcentral.
ACAAGCGGUGGAUGAUGUGGUUUGAUUCGAUGCAACGCGAAAACCUUACCACCUUUGACAUGUACGGAAUCCUUUAGAGAUAGAGGAGUGCUCGAAAGAGAACCGUAACACAGGUGCUGCAUGGCUGUCGUCAGCUCGUGUCGUGAGAUGUUGGGUUAAGUCCCGCAACGAGCGCAACCCUUGUCAUUAGUUGCUACAUUCAGUUGGGCACUCUAAUGAGACUGCCGGUGACAAACCGGAGGAAGGUGGGGAUGACGUCAAGUCCUCAUGGCCCUUAUAGGUGGGGCUACACACGUCAUACAAUGGAUGGUACAAAGGGUCGCCAACCCGCGAGGGGGAGCCAAUCCCAUAAAGCCAUUCGUAGUCCGGAUCGCAGUCUGCAACUCGACUGCGUGAAGUCGGAAUCGCUAGUAAUCGUGGAUCAGAAUGUCACGGUGAAUACGUUCCCGGGUCUU